Molecule: ribosomal RNA, 497 nt
Filed under: uncultured bacterium
Lineage: Bacteria
Description: partial 16S ribosomal RNA
Rfam family: Bacterial small subunit ribosomal RNA
Source: RNAcentral
GAUGAACGCUGGCGGUGUGCCUAAUACAUGCAAGUCGAGCGACCGGACGAGAAGCUUGCUCCCCUGAUGUUAGCGGCGGACGGGUGAGUAACACGUGGAUAACCUACUUAUAAGACUGGGAUAACUUCGGGAAACCGGUGCCAAUACCGGAUAAUAUUUUGAACCGCAUGGUUCAAAAGUGAAAGACGGUCUUGCUGUCACCUAUAGAUGGAUCCGCGCUGCAUUAGCUAGUUGGUAAGGUAACGGCUUACCAAGGCAACGAUGCAUAGCCGACCUGAGAGGGUGAUCGGCCACACUGGAACUGAGACACGGUCCAGACUCCUACGGGAGGCAGCAGUAGGGAAUCUUCCGCAAUGGGCGAAAGCCUGACGGAGCAACGCCGCGUGAGUGAUGAAGGUCUUCGGAUCGUAAAACUCUGUUAUUAGGGAAGAACAUAUGUGUAAGUAACUGUGCACAUCUUGACGGUACCUAAUCAGAAAGCCACGGCUAACUACGUG